CAGUCGCCGCGGUAAUACAGAGGAUGCAAGCGUUAUCCGGAAUGAUUGGGCGUAAAGCGUCUGUAGGUGGCUUUUCAAGUCCGCCGUCAAAUCCCAGGGCUCAACCCUGGACAGGCGGUGGAAACUGCCAAGCUGGAGUACGGUAGGGGCAGAGGGAAUUUCCAGUGGAGCGGUGAAAUGCGUUGAGAUCGAAAAGAACACCAACAGCGAAAGCACUCUGCUGGGACGACACUGACACUAAGAGACGAAAGCUAGGGGAGCAAAUGGGAUUAGAGACCCCUGUAGUCCCUGUCUCUUAUAA
Molecule: ribosomal RNA, 301 nt
Filed under: uncultured bacterium
Lineage: Bacteria
Description: partial 16S ribosomal RNA
Rfam family: Bacterial small subunit ribosomal RNA
Source: RNAcentral